RNAcentral lists this ribosomal RNA (463 nucleotides) under Ranitomeya amazonica. RNAcentral's name for it is "partial 16S ribosomal RNA". It matches the Rfam family "Bacterial large subunit ribosomal RNA", at positions 1947 to 2564 of the family's 2925-position model. The record is from RNAcentral. Lineage: Eukaryota; Metazoa; Chordata; Amphibia; Anura; Dendrobatidae.
CGUGCGAAGGUAGCGUAAUCACUUGUUCUUUAAUUGAGGACNNGUAUGAACGGCCCACGAGGANUACACUGUCUCCUUUUUCUAAUCAAUGANNCUGAUCUCCUCGUGAAGAAGNGNGAAUAANUAUNUAAGNCGAGAAGACCNUAUGGAGNUUUAAACAACCGGGAUACUUGCUAAUUAUUAAUCUAUCUUCUGAAACUAAACAAAUUAAAGCAUCUUACCCCCUAGUUUUAGGUUGGGGUGACCACCGAGAAAAAAUUAUCUCCACGCUGUAAGAAGCCUCCCAUCUUUUAAGCUAAGAGUCACACCUCUAAGCAUCAACACAUUGACUCCAUUGACCCAAUAUUUGAUCAACGAACCAAGUUACCUAGGGAUACAGCGCAAUGUACUUUAAGAGCUCAUAUCGACCAGUAGGUUUACGACCUCGAUGUUGGAUCAGGGUAUCCUAGUGGUGCAGCCGCUA